Molecule: long non-coding RNA, 292 nt
Filed under: Homo sapiens (human)
Lineage: Eukaryota; Metazoa; Chordata; Mammalia; Primates; Hominidae
Description: HSALNT0180853
Source: RNAcentral
CACAAACUGAACCAUCAUUUGAACCAAUGACACUGCUGCAACUCCUUCAAGAGUAAUUGUGAUCCUGGCAUCUAACAGCUUCCAAAAGGUGGCACCCAUCAUCAUCAUCGACAUCAACAAUAAAAACAACAACAACUAUACCAAAUUAUUUAUUGUUCCUGGUAUGGGACUGGGACAUGCAAAAAGAAAACGAGGCAAUCCUGAUUCCUGAUCCCGUGAGAAGCUACACAGACAGCCAUGCUGGUCGGAAGGCUCUUUAUGAGGAUCGACAAUUAGCCAAAUCUGAACCAAA